Molecule: ribosomal RNA, 441 nt
Filed under: uncultured bacterium
Lineage: Bacteria
Description: bacterial SSU rRNA
Rfam family: Bacterial small subunit ribosomal RNA
Source: RNAcentral
AACGCGAAGAACCUUACCUACCCUUGACAUCCCACGGACCCUAUAGAGAUAUGGGGGUGCCGAAAGGAACGUGGAGACAGGUGCUGCAUGGCUGUCGUCAGCUCGUGUUGUGAGAUGUUGGGUUAAGUCCCGUAACGAGCGCAACCCUUAUCCUUAGUUGCCAACAUGUAAUGGUGGGGACUCUAAGGAGACUGCUGGUGAAGAACCGGAGGAAGGCGGGGACGACGUCAAGUCAUCAUGGCCUUUAUGGGUAGGGCUACACACGUGCUACAAUGGUUGGUACAGAGGGAAGCGAAACUGCGAAGUGGAGCGAAUCCCGGAAAGCCAAUCGUAGUCCGGAUUGAAGUCUGCAACUCGACUUCAUGAAGUCGGAAUCGCUAGUAAUCGCGAAUCAGAAUGUCGCGGUGAAUACGUUCCCGGGCCUUGUACACACCGUAGUAC